This 74-nucleotide transfer RNA is filed under the name Vaccinium macrocarpon (large cranberry). Its description in RNAcentral is "tRNA-Trp". Lineage: Eukaryota; Viridiplantae; Streptophyta; Magnoliopsida; Ericales; Ericaceae. The record is from RNAcentral.
CGCGCUCUGUAGGAUUUGAACCUACGACAUCGGGUUUUGGAGACCCACGUUCUGCCGAGCUGAACUAAGAGCGC